AGAGACAUCUGUACUUCAGGUGAAGAGAUCAUCUGCACAAGUGCUGCUGCUGAGAUUAGGAGUUUUUCUCCACUGCUGACCAGAAUUCUAGAUCACUGCAUGUGGCGAUAUCAAGGAUUCUCAUUACAUGUGUUUAUACUCACCAGUUCUAAAUUAUGGUAUAAUAAGAUGUCCAAUCUAUGUCAUGAUAAUUAAAAUCCCUCAGUAAAGGAAUUUGGCCAGAUU
Long non-coding RNA from Protopterus annectens (West African lungfish), 225 nucleotides. RefSeq lists it as uncharacterized. The transcript is spliced from 3 exons. Lineage: Eukaryota; Metazoa; Chordata; Ceratodontiformes; Protopteridae. The record is from RefSeq and is a predicted model, not a curated record.